This 1440-nucleotide ribosomal RNA is filed under the name metagenome. RNAcentral describes it as "bacterial LSU rRNA". It matches the Rfam family "Bacterial large subunit ribosomal RNA", at positions 1495 to 2925 of the family's 2925-position model. The record is from RNAcentral.
CUUUGGGAUAUGUUGGUUCAAGCCUGUAGUCGUGUCUGGUAGGUAAAUCCGCCGGGCUUAGAUGAGGGGUGAUAACGAGGCUGCUUGCAGCCGAAGUGAGUGAUACCCUGCUUCCAGGAAAAGCCACUAAGCUUCAGCUAUACACGACCGUACCGCAAACCGACACUGGUGCGCGAGAUGAGUAUUCUAAGGCGCUUGAGAGAACUCAGGAGAAGGAACUCGGCAAAUUGACACCGUAACUUCGGAAGAAGGUGUGCCUUUAGUAGGUGAACCUGUACAAGGGGAGCCCAAUGAGGUUGCAAAAAAUCGGUUGCUGCGACUGUUUAUUAAAAACACAGCACUCUGCAAACACGAAAGUGGACGUAUAGGGUGUGACGCCUGCCCGGUGCUGGAAGAUUAAAUGAUGGGGUGCAAGCUCUUGAUUGAAGUCCCAGUAAACGGCGGCCGUAACUAUAACGGUCCUAAGGUAGCGAAAUUCCUUGUCGGGUAAGUUCCGACCUGCACGAAUGGCGUAACGAUGGCCACACUGUCUCCUCCUGAGACUCAGCGAAGUUGAAAUGUUUGUGAUGAUGCAAUCUCCCCGCGGAAAGACGGAAAGACCCCAUGAACCUUUACUGUAGCUUUGUAUUGGACUUUGAACAGAUCUGUGUAGGAUAGGUGGGAGGCUUUGAAGCAGGGUCGCUAGAUCUUGUGGAGCCAACGUUGAAAUACCACCCUGGUGUGUUUGAGGUUCUAACCUAGGUCCAUUAUCUGGAUCGGGGACAGUGCAUGGUAGGCAGUUUGACUGGGGCGGUCUCCUCCCAAAGCGUAACGGAGGAGUUCGAAGGUACGCUAGUUACGGUCGGACAUCGUGACGAUAGUGCAAUGGCAUAAGCGUGCUUAACUGCGAGACUGACAAGUCGAGCAGAUGCGAAAGCAGGACAUAGUGAUCCGGUGGUUCUGUAUGGAAGGGCCAUCGCUCAACGGAUAAAAGGUACUCUGGGGAUAACAGGCUGAUACCGCCCAAGAGUUCAUAUCGACGGCGGUGUUUGGCACCUCGAUGUCGGCUCAUCUCAUCCUGGGGCUGUAGCCGGUCCCAAGGGUAUGGCUGUUCGCCAUUUAAAGAGGUACGUGAGCUGGGUUUAAAACGUCGUGAGACAGUUUGGUCCCUAUCUUCCGUGGGCGCUGCAGAUUUGAGGAAGCCUGCUCCUAGUACGAGAGGACCGGAGUGGACAUACCUCUGGUGUAUCGGUUGUCACGCCAGUGGCAUUGCCGAGUAGCUAAGUAUGGAAGAGAUAAACGCUGAAAGCAUCUAAGCGUGAAACUCGUUUCAAGAUGAGAUCUGCCGGGGCCUUGAGCCCCCUAAAGAGUCGUUCAAGACCAGGACGUUGAUAGGUCAGGUGUGGAAGCGCAGUAAUGCGUUAAGCUAACUGAUACUAAUUGCUCGUGCGGCUUGACCCU